UACGUAGGUGGCAAGCGCUGUCCGGAAUCACUGGGCGUAAAGCGCACGUAGGCGGCUUUCUAAGUCAGGGGUGAAAUCCUGGAGCUCAACUCCAGAACUGCCUUUGAUACUGGAGAGCUUGAGUCCGGGAGAGGUGAGUGGAACUCCGAGUGUAGAGGUGAAAUUCGUAGAUAUUCGGAAGAACACCAGUGGCGAAGGCGGCUCACUGGCCCGGUACUGACGCUGAUGUGCGAAAGCGUGGGGAGCAAACAGG
RNAcentral lists this ribosomal RNA (253 nucleotides) under uncultured bacterium. RNAcentral describes it as "partial 16S ribosomal RNA". It matches the Rfam family "Bacterial small subunit ribosomal RNA", at positions 524 to 776 of the family's 1533-position model. The record is from RNAcentral.